GCGGGUAUAGCUCAGUUGGUAGAGCGUUGGUUUGUGGUACCAAAUGUCGCCGGUUCGAGUCCGACUACCCGCCCCA
This 76-nucleotide transfer RNA is filed under the name Rickettsiales bacterium. RNAcentral's name for it is "tRNA-His". It matches the Rfam family "tRNA". From Rfam's summary of the family: Transfer RNA (tRNA) molecules are approximately 80 nucleotides in length. The record is from RNAcentral. Lineage: Bacteria; Pseudomonadati; Pseudomonadota; Alphaproteobacteria; Rickettsiales.